AGCACCGAAAAAUGAAACACAAACGUAGCAGGGUGAAACACCAAACAAAAGUGCAUCUGGGGUUGGCUUUUGCUUUCACUUGCAAAUGUGUUUACAAAGAGUAACCGACAAUCCUGCAUCGUAUACCUUUAACAAAACUACUUGUCGUCAAAGACAAAAACUGACCUGUUUUUUCUCUUCAAAUUGCAGCGUUUGUUUCUUUUAUCAGUGCGUCUCUUAGGUGAAGGACAGAUCAGAUAGCAGUAUUGUUGGCCAUGUGUAAACUUAAAGUCUUGGAUUAGCUAACACAAUAUUUAGAGUCUGUUUUAUUAAAGGAUCCACACUGAGGCGCAUGUGUGCUGCUUUGUAUAAACAGGUGGUGAUGAUGAGUUGUGAUGCGUUUGACCGUGUGUUUCACUUAGGUGUGGUUUGCGCACUAAACACACACACACACACACACACACACACACACAAACACACACUCUGAUUACUUCAAUGACUUUGUGUUUGUGGUUGUGUUGGGGUUUCUUUUCACCUCAGGAAAAAUGGACAAACGAGAACAAGACUGGAGGUUUUGGUUUUUAACUGAAGUCUGGUUGAUUUUCAAAGUGUUUAUUUUUCAUUUUGCGCGGCGUAUCUGUGUCUAAAUGCACACAAGUACGGUGACUGUGUGCUGUAACUGACCAGAGGGCAGGCGCAGCCGAAAGCCGUGUGUGUGUCCUGUUAUCAGAACAAAUGCACAUGGUGGCCCCUAGCGUAACAAGAAGCAAACAGCAACUUGGGGUAAAAAAAAAAAGCAGUAAAAGAGAAGAUCAAAUUAACACUUUGACUUUAUUUUAAUGUAGGACAUUUUACUUUUUAUGUUACUCCUUCACUGUCCAUUCUACUGUAAUUACUGCCUUAUAAUAGAGGAGUUGUGGGUAGAAGAAAUGCAGUGUGGAAACUUGGGACAUUACUGAUGUAUAGUGUCCUUUGGUUUCAGAAAUACUUUUUAGGACUCUUUGGGGUUUGCAUAUAAGGGUUUACUGUACGUAAUAUGGCACCUCAGUUACUUUUGAUCCAAAGUCACAGUUGAUUUAUACUUGAGCCAUGACUUAACUGAGCAUCCGUGUCUUUGAAACGAGCCUUCCUACAAGACUGGAUUCAAUCGUGAUUAGUUGCUGCGAGGCUUUUCUCGCCUGCUGCAGCAAACUGAUUAGAAGUUUAGCAUCAUGUUUUAGCAGUAUAUCCUCAAUAAAGCAAUAUAUCAAUAUAUUUAUAUAUUCUUAGAAGGUCACGCCAGCUGGAUUAAGGACACUUGAGGUGUUUAAAAUAGAUUUUAUGAUUGUUUAACUUUGUAUUUUGUAACCGUUGAGCUCAGUAUGUUUUGCUUAAUAUUUUUCUGACUUGUCUAAUGGAUUAUUUCUGUUGAUUGUCACUGACUCUUGAUUAUCUUGACUUGAUUAAAUGUUAUGUUACAGUUCACAGGAGGCAAGCGAGGAACCUGACAUGCUGCGUGUGAAGCAGCGUUAAGCAAAUGGGCAUAUUAUUAUGCCACAUGAGACUGUCUGGAUGAAAACGAACUUUGCCCUGUCUAAUUUUUUAGCUAAAAUGCAAAUGUGACAAGGGUUUUCAUUCACACCUCAGCUGGAAUCCUGAAUUUAGACUGUUAGACUUCAUCACUCCACGUCAUCCAAAUGAAGCGCCAGGUAGAUUAAACUCUCCAUCCACCUCUCAUAGUAAUAACUCAACACCCUGCAUACCACAUCACACAUUUCAGGUGAUCGAUAGCUUUGGUGUUAUGUAACAACUUGGAUUAAUCACCCAAAUCCAGGUUGCUGCAUGCAGCUACAGACUGUUGACUUGUUUGUCUGCUUUGAGGGAAAAUGCUAAUGAGCCAAAGAGGCCCACCACUAAAAUUAACAUGAAGGCGAAUGGUGUGAUGCCUUAACGAAGAUGUCUUUUCAUGAAUAUUUCAGCUAAAGAGAGUAAAUCUUCACCGCCUGGUUUGCUUUUUCUACUUUUCGGAGCAGUACAUCUCACAACAUAGCAAGAAAGUAAUUCACUCAGACCCACAGGAAAUGUCUUCCAUCGCUCUAAACGCCUUUAUAAUAACCCUAAUCCUCAUAAUAAUAACAAAUGUCAGCAGCUUCUUGUCCAGGUUUUGUCCUCAUUGAGUUUAUUUUGCAUCUUCAAGAAACAUUUCAGAGGACUGUAUGUUGCACCAUGAAGCAUCUUGUUUGACAUGUUAUGUGGUCUCCAGCAAUAACGCAGUGUGGUACCCAACAUGAAGAUGUUGCUCUGGGUUGUUGUAUGGUUUGGUCCUUGGGUGAGCAUAAACUGUUGACUGAUUACCGCAUAUACUGUGUUAGCUUCCUAUAGUGAUCUACUGUACAUGUAAUUGGAAUAAAAGGAAGGACUGUCUAGUC
Molecule: non-coding RNA, 2387 nt
Organism: Epinephelus lanceolatus (giant grouper)
Lineage: Eukaryota; Metazoa; Chordata; Actinopteri; Perciformes; Serranidae
Source: RefSeq, a predicted model, not a curated record